This 78-nucleotide transfer RNA is filed under the name Sphingomonas sp. Its description in RNAcentral is "tRNA-Trp". It matches the Rfam family "tRNA". Rfam says of the family: Transfer RNA (tRNA) molecules are approximately 80 nucleotides in length. Their secondary structure includes four short double-helical elements and three loops (D, anti-codon, and T loops). Further hydrogen bonds mediate the characteristic L-shaped molecular structure. tRNAs have two regions of fundamental functional importance: the anti-codon, which is responsible for specific mRNA codon recognition, and the 3' end, to which the tRNAs corresponding amino acid is attached (by aminoacyl-tRNA synthetases). tRNAs cope with the degeneracy of the genetic code in two manners: having more than one tRNA (with a specific anti-codon) for a particular amino acid; and 'wobble' base-pairing, i.e. permitting non-standard base-pairing at the 3rd anti-codon position. Lineage: Bacteria; Pseudomonadati; Pseudomonadota; Alphaproteobacteria; Sphingomonadales; Sphingomonadaceae. RNAcentral also lists the same sequence under 3 other names. The record is from RNAcentral.
AGGAGUGUAGCUCAGUCCGGUUAGAGCAUCGGUCUCCAAAACCGAGGGUCGUGGGUUCGAAUCCCUCCACUCCUGCCA